AGUCUAAGUAUAAGUUAUUCUGAAGACGAAACUGCGAAUGGCUCGGUAAAACAGCAAUAAUUUCUUCGGUGAUGAUUUUACUCACGGAUAACCGUAGUAAUUCUAGAGCUAAUACGUGCUGAAAUAAGGUGGGGCUUGCUCCACCGUGCCGUUUAGAUAACAACACCAACAUUUGGUGAUUCAUAAUCGUCUUUCUGAUCGCUUUCGAGCGACACACCGUUCAAAUUUCUGACCUAUCAACUUUCGAUGUUAAGGUAGUGUCUUAACAUGGUGGUAACGGGUAACGGACCGUGGGUGCGGGACUCCGGAGAGGGAGCCUGAGAAACGGCUACCACAUCCAAGGAAGGCAGCAGGCGCGCAACUUACCCAAUCCAGACUCUGGGAGGUAGUGACAAGAAAUAUCAAUAGGGGAGCCUACGGUUCUUCUAAUUGGAAUGAGAUCGAGCUAAACAGCCAUAUCGAGAAUCCAGCAGAGGGCAAGUCUGGUGCCAGCAGCCGCGGUAAUUCCAGCUCUGUAAGCGUAUACCAAAGUUGUUGCAGUUAAAACGCUCGUAGUCGGACUUUGGCAGUUCCGGGAGUGUGCGCGUCGUGCGCACGCUUUGCGGGGACUGCUUUUGUGGUAUUGCGUGGGAUGAAGCAUUUUAAUUAAUGAACGUCCCUCCGCAACCACUUUUUACUGUGAGAAAAUCAGAGUGCUCAAAGCAGGCAUUUGCCGUGAAUGUAUUAGCAUGGAAUAAUGGAAUAGGACUUAGUUCUAUUUUGUUGGUUUGUUGGGACUGAGUAAUGAUUAAGAGGGACAGUUGGGGGUAUUUGUAUUUCGGCGCUA
This 826-nucleotide ribosomal RNA is filed under the name Lithophyllum incrustans. RNAcentral describes it as "SSU rRNA". It matches the Rfam family "Eukaryotic small subunit ribosomal RNA", at positions 56 to 907 of the family's 1831-position model. The record is from RNAcentral. Lineage: Eukaryota; Rhodophyta; Florideophyceae; Corallinales; Lithophyllaceae.